Molecule: ribosomal RNA, 579 nt
Filed under: Triticum aestivum (bread wheat)
Lineage: Eukaryota; Viridiplantae; Streptophyta; Magnoliopsida; Poales; Poaceae
Description: partial small subunit ribosomal RNA
Source: RNAcentral
AUGAAGAAGGUGGCGCAGGCCGCGUCAAGCCGUUGCGGCUGCGGGUCCUCCAGAUCUAAACCGGAGCUGUUACCGCCCGCCUCUGACGACGGCGAGGCACUCCAUGACGCAAUUCGCCGCUCCUACACGUCAGCAGAGACGAAUGACCGCCCUGCGCCUACCGCCCAGAGCUCGCAGCUGCAGAAGCUGGCCUCCGUGUUGCAGUGCGGCGCCGUCUGGGCAGCAGUCCAGGCCCCCGCUGCUCUGGCGACGGUGAGCGGGGAGGAGGACCUCGACCUCCUGGGGAUCCUGCCGCCGGUGGCCGCGAUCGCCUUCGUCUACCUCUUCGUUGCUCCCCCGAUUAUCAUGAACUGGAUGAGGCUGAGGUGGUUCAAGCGCAAGUUCGUCGAGACGUACCUGCAGUUCAUGUUCACUUACCUCUUCUUCCCCGGGUUGAUGCUGUGGGCACCGUUCGUCAACUUCAGAAAGUUCCCAAGGGAUAAAACCAUGAAGUAUCCUUGGUCAAAACCCAAGGAAGGCACCCCGCUGUUCAAGGACAGAUACCCACAAAUUGACUCCUUCAGAGAGAAGUACUACUAG